GCGGAAGGAUCAUUGUCGAAACCUGCAA
RNAcentral lists this ribosomal RNA (28 nucleotides) under Codonanthopsis ulei. RNAcentral's name for it is "partial 18S ribosomal RNA". Lineage: Eukaryota; Viridiplantae; Streptophyta; Magnoliopsida; Lamiales; Gesneriaceae. The record is from RNAcentral.